Molecule: ribosomal RNA, 497 nt
Filed under: uncultured bacterium
Lineage: Bacteria
Description: partial 16S ribosomal RNA
Rfam family: Bacterial small subunit ribosomal RNA
Source: RNAcentral
GAUGAACGCUGGCGGCGUGCCUAAUACAUGCAAGUCGAACGUAUAGCGAAAGGUGCUUGCACCUUUCAAGUGAGUGGCGAACGGGUGAGUAACACGUGGACAACCUGCCUCAAGGCUGGGGAUAACAUUUGGAAACAGAUGCUAAUACCGAAUAAAACUUAGUGUCGCAUGACACAAAGUUAAAAGGCGCUUCGGCGUCACCUAGAGAUGGAUCCGCGGUGCAUUAGUUAGUUGGUGGGGUAAAGGCCUACCAAGACAAUGAUGCAUAGCCGAGUUGAGAGACUGAUCGGCCACAUUGGGACUGAGACACGGCCCAAACUCCUACGGGAGGCUGCAGUAGGGAAUCUUCCACAAUGGGCGAAAGCCUGAUGGAGCAACGCCGCGUGUGUGAUGAAGGCUUUCGGGUCGUAAAGCACUGUUGUAUGGGAAGAACAGCUAGAAUAGGAAAUGAUUUUAGUUUGACGGUACCAUACCAGAAAGGGACGGCUAAAUACGUG